CCUACGGGAGGCAGCAGUGAGGAAUAUUGGUCAAUGGACGCAAGUCUGAACCAGCCAUGCCGCGUGCAGGAAGACGGCUCUAUGAGUUGUAAACUGCUUUUGUACGAGGGUAAACGCAGAUACGCGUAUCUGUCUGAAAGUAUCGUACGAAUAAGGAUCGGCUAACUCCGGGCCAGCAGCGGCGGUAAUAUGGAGGAUUCAAGCGUUACCCGGAUUGAUUGGGUUUAAAGGGUGCGUAGGCGGUCGGAUAAGUUAGAGGUGAAAUCCCGAGGCUCAACUUCGGAAUUGCCUCUGAUACUGUUCGGCUAGAGAGUAGUUGCGGUAGGCAGAAUGUAUGGUGUAGCGGUGAAAUGCUUAGAGAUCAUACAGAACACCGAUUGCGAAGGCAGCUUACCAAGCUACUUCUGACGUUGAGGCACGAAAGCGUGGGGAGCAAACAGGAUUAGAUACCCGGGUAGUC
Molecule: ribosomal RNA, 460 nt
Filed under: uncultured bacterium
Lineage: Bacteria
Description: partial 16S ribosomal RNA
Rfam family: Bacterial small subunit ribosomal RNA
Source: RNAcentral